ACGCGUCUCCCCUGCCCCUCCUCCUCCUCCUCUCCUGCCGCCGCCGCCUCCUCCUCUCCUUUCCUCGAUGUCGCCAGGGCCUCACCCUCACUGGCUGCGGUGAUGGCGGCGGGGCGGAGCUCUUGGCGGGCCAGAGUCCUCUCCCGCGUCCGUCCCGGUGGGGCUGGUGACCUGCAGCCAAAGGGUGACGACGGCUAGGAGAGAGAGAUGAGAGGGAGAGAGAAGACAAGGAGAGGAGGGAGAAAGAGUGGGGAAAGAGGAGUUGCAGGUGCGCUGGCUGGUGGGAGAGGGACAAAGGGUCAUUGACCGCCGGCGAGGUCGGGCGGGGCCUGGCGGUUGGUUCCAGAUCCAGCGCAGGUCGCCCCCAUGGGUGAGCAAUGGAGGAGGGGUCUUGAAGGUUGGUGGAUGAGCAGGGGAGGCCGACAGCUUGGGGGAGGACCAGAGGAGUAGCGAACAGCAGCAACUCGUUUCUCAACUUCCUCCAGAAUCUUGCCGAGGAUUUUAUUGCAACAACAGGGUUCUGGCUAUUUUUGUUUUCAGAAUUUGUCAAAGAAAUUCUGCUUAGGCGCUUUGACCUGGCCAGUGAUCUCGUCUCACAUUGCGGUUUUGAAACUUGUCAAUGAAAUUCUGGUCAAUCAGUCUCCGCCAUCAUGUAACCCACCUGGUCGAGCCCCCACCCUGGCGGUUGCAUGCAGAGGAGGAGAGGUCGAGGAUGGCUCCCAUAGCAUGUCACAGGGUUAGCGAGGAGGAGGUUGUCCUCAAAGAGGUAGUGUCGUGUCUUGGCGGCCACCUCUCCUCAUCUCCUCCUAACAAGUGCAGGCUCGAUGGUUCAUGGCGUCCUCGCCGUCAUGGUUUGGCUACUGCUUGGCCUGACUCUACUUGUGCUGCUACUAUGUGCUACUAUAUGUUGUUGGUUGCCUCCUUAGUUGGUUAUUUGUGAAUCUGAAAACACUUUCUGAGAAGCAAGGAUUGAAGAGAAGGCUAUGCGCCAAUGAGAAGAGCUUCAUUUUCAGAUUUUUUUAAGAAUUGCUGAAGACCAUGUCAUAUGUUCAGUCACUAACAUUCCCUCUAUGGUGUACGCACUUGUUGUUCGUUUCAUUGGAGGGAGAGGAAGACUCUUUGUGAGAAUCAAGUAUUGAAGAGAAGGCUUAUGAGCCAAUGAGAAAACCUGAACUUUAGUUUUUUAUUUAAGAACCGAUGAAGGGCACGUCAUAUGUUCAGUUCCUUACAUUUUCUCUAUGAUGUAUGUACCUGCUGUUCAUGGCAUCCGAGGGAGAGGACAACAAGAGUAAGAAAGCCUUGCGGCGUGAAGGCAGUAGCACGCAGCACCAAGUCAAGCGCAUUGGCCUCGAUGGCAAGAGACCAGUACCAUCAGGUUCGCUUGACUGCUUGCUAGCCCAGCAUUGAACAGUACCCUUUAAAAAAGCUACAUGGUGGACGCUAUUUGUCAUAUUUUGACCGAUGAAUCUGUUUGAAUAGAUUAUACAGGAUUGAUGUAAUUAUCAGAUGAUUGCAGUCUACCCCAGGAUACAUAUUGGUUAUUUGGAUGCUCUCAUUUAAAGAUUUGCAAGAUCAAUGAGGAUUCGGGCUGCGGGGAGGGGUCUGGUGAUAGGAAACAUGGGUCCAAGAAGAAAUCAAAGAGCAUGUACAGGCAGCCCACGAGCAGCAGCAAGCAGAGCAAUAGCGAGCAGCCAACAAACAACAACAGCAAACAUCAGAAGUAGCAGCGGCAAGCAGCAGUACGCAGCAAAAGCGAGCAACAACAAUCUCCUGGCCUAAUCAUAUUGGUCCGGACCAAAAUGGUCUCAGGAGGCAGCGCUACAACCAUCUCCAGCGACGGCAAGAAUGAGAAACAACAAUGUUGACAAAGAAAAGAAAGCACGAGAAGGCAGGGGUGGCUUCUCACCUUGCUGUUCGUGGCGAGGCCGGAAGACACGGGACGGACGACAGCGAAUUCAGGACGUUAGCAAUGGCAGUCAACGUCGAGGAAGUAGGAGAGACCCGUGGCUUCAAAUCCUUGGUCCAGAGGAGACGCGGAGCCCGUCACGGUCCCUACAGUUGCUCGGGGAGGAUGACGACCGCGGCGGCGUCGCAACGGCGGCUAACGGAACAGAGGAAGGCGACCUCGGUCCAUAAGUUUGCUGCAUGCUCGGUGUCCAGGAAUCGCAUCAGAACGACGGCCGGAGCUGAACAGAAUUAGGGAAACUACCUAGCAUCAAGGACUCACUGGAAAAAUGAGGCGAUUCACGGCGGCGUCCAGCAGACCUGCAUGUUGGACCCUGGGGCGUGGACGUCAAGCCGGACCGAGGGCUGGUGGAUCCCGCCGGUUCCUAUGGCUGGAGUUGCUGCGGCGAGCGGCGGCGUCCCCAGCAAGCCCGACCAGUAAGGCCUCGUUUGGUUGCAUGGGAUCCCGGAGGGAACCCCGCUUAUUCCCCGGGCGGUAAAAGCACGGGCCAGAUCAAGCCGGGGAAAUCGAGCGCGACGUUUGGACGGAUUCGUUGGGGGGGCAUCCCUGCCCUACCCGCGUCGUUUCCCCGGGGAAACGUUCCACGCCUCUAGGGGUCGGGGAGAGAAGCCACGGCUCGAGCGAGACCGAGAGCGCAGCGACCGAAAGGCGGCGAGCCGGCGACGGCCAAGAUCCAGUCCUCCUCCUCCGAGUUUCCCCGGCAGCGACCGGAGAGACGGACCGCCCCCUCCCUCCGGUGCUCCGCCUCCAUGCUCCGUCCACCAGCGACCGCAACGUCCGUGGUCGUCGCGCUCCUCCUUCCCCAGAUCUCCCCUCCUCCUCGAAGUUCCUGUCCCCUCCGGUGACGGCAACGGCGGCGGUUCCGCGGUCAAUUUCCACCUACUUCGACCAAGGGAAACUGAUGCCAGAACUUGCUGGUCCAGAUCCAAGAACCCGAGCCUUCUCUUCUAAAUAAUUUCACAUGGCGUAGACAAAAUUUACUUCAUUGAGGCUGGCUAGGUGUUGUUUUUGUGUUUCCGUGGUGCAGAUGUGCUCUGAGCCUCUGACAUUAGCAAAUGAUUUGCUUUAUCCGAAAACGCUAGGCGGUGGCGGCGGCGUUGUGUUCAGUGGCUAAGUGCCUUUUGGUUCUUUGGUCAUUGAAAAGAUUUCACCUAAUGAAGAAAGGGUCUUGCUUAAGCAAGAGAAAGUACUGCCAAGUAUCAACUAGCUAGUUACAGAUUCACUCAUCAGGGAAGUAACUUGUAACAGCAGUGGAGUGUGGGCACGUGCCAUAUAUCUAUUAGUAAUUUGGUACUUACAUCGUGCUUGUGCUAGCUCCAGUUCAACGAACAUCGAGUUGUGGUACUUGAUGUCGAUGCGGAGUGGCGAAAAGACCUGAAUAGGACUAGUGAUUUUCACCUUGCAACUCAAUCCUAUUCGAAAGUGUGUAUGCCUUGGACAUGUGAUAAUUCAGAACCUUCUGUAGUGAACAAACUUAAAUAAUGGUGCAUCAAUGCCAAUUGUAUUGAUUGCUUUUAUGUUGGCACACGAAAAACGGUUUAGGUCAACGCUUGAUUGCAAUGAAAUGCAAAGCGAUGGAUAUUUGAACCUUGGUGAGGUGAUGGAUAUCAGUUGUAUUUUUUUUGAUGAAAUUAUAGUUUACAUGAAUUCUGAAGUUUUUUGUA
Molecule: long non-coding RNA, 3630 nt
Organism: Triticum aestivum (bread wheat)
Lineage: Eukaryota; Viridiplantae; Streptophyta; Magnoliopsida; Poales; Poaceae
Exons: 12
Source: RefSeq, a predicted model, not a curated record